UACGAAGGGGGCUAGCGUUGCUCGGAAUUACUGGGCGUAAAGCGCACGUAGGCGGUCUUUUAAGUCGGGGGUGAAAUCCUGGAGCUCAACUCCAGAACUGCCUUCGAUACUGAAAGACUUGAGUUCGGGAGAGGUGAGUGGAACUGCGAGUGUAGAGGUGAAAUUCGUAGAUAUUCGCAAGAACACCAGUGGCGAAGGCGGCUCACUGGCCCGAUACUGACGCUGAGGUGCGAAAGCGUGGGGAGCAAACAGG
RNAcentral lists this ribosomal RNA (253 nucleotides) under uncultured bacterium. RNAcentral's name for it is "partial 16S ribosomal RNA". It matches the Rfam family "Bacterial small subunit ribosomal RNA", at positions 524 to 776 of the family's 1533-position model. RNAcentral also lists the same sequence under 1 other name. The record is from RNAcentral.